ACUUCCUCGUGUGUUUAUUCCACUAAAGCAUGCUGUCUCAGCUUGCCAAAUUAUUAACAAAUGUUUUAAGCAGCAAAGGAAGAAAUAUGCCAUUUGCUGAUAAGGCAAAAYCAUUUGGACUGAUAGAAAUUAAAGAGGCAUGUGAAAGGUUCAAGCAAAAUAAGAGGGAGAAACUUAAUGUAAAUAUUGAUAAAAGUUAAGUAAUAUUGUAGUAAUUAAUAUACAUGUCUUAUAUAUUCCAUCUCUCUGGGAAACAGGCCUGCAAAAAGGACUACUAUCAGAAAAAAGCAGUUAAGGCAACAGGAAUCCAUACGAUGACCAACAGAAAGUUGCAGAACCACAUCUUUCAAAGACUUCUGAAUAGUAGGAUCCAGGCUCUUAUAUACAGUGUAUACAACCUCUAUGUUUAUGUAUAUUUUUUACUUAGCAAUCUAGGAAAAAUAUAAUUUGGAUCAAAUUCUGCCUUAUGUUAYGCCAUUGUGUUGCUUUGGACUUCAGUGACAAUGGAGUUCCAUCUUAUUCAUGUUAGUCUGUUAUAAGCACAUUCUAGCUCCAAAACUGUAGCUAAUUAAAAUAAUUGAUCUUUUUCUUGACGUCUGUCUUAAAUUGCUGGAUUUUGCUCCAGGCCUGCCACCUAGCAGAGUGCCUCUGGGAAACAAAAAACAGUAUCUCCUUAAAACUCUGUUAAGGAAACCUCCUCAGACAGAUGUGUUUCUCUCUUAACUGAGUACACUCCAAAACAUUCCACAUAUAUAAAAUACACUCUAAAAUGAAUCUCUAGAAAUUAUAUAAAGCGCAAAUAACAAAACAAGACCUCCCUAAACCAGCUUUUUGAGUUGUUAGCACAUGUACAUUAACUGUCCAAGGCAUUUGUUUUUUUCCCCUAAUAGCCCAUUGGAAAUGGUUACUCUGUGACAUGAACUUGCACCCACAUUGUUUCUAUUUUGUAUUCUUUUAUUUGUCUUUGUCACAAGCAACAACGUAGCUCACUCAAAAUCAAUAAAGGCAUGAACUCAUUUGGACUCUUUUAGGAC
Molecule: long non-coding RNA, 1034 nt
Filed under: Dromaius novaehollandiae (emu)
Lineage: Eukaryota; Metazoa; Chordata; Aves; Casuariiformes; Dromaiidae
Description: lncRNA (ENSDNVG00000017839.1)
Source: RNAcentral